Molecule: transfer-messenger RNA, 356 nt
Filed under: Actinomycetes bacterium
Lineage: Bacteria; Bacillati; Actinomycetota; Actinomycetes
Rfam family: transfer-messenger RNA
About the family: Bacterial tmRNA, also known as 10Sa RNA or SsrA, is named for its dual tRNA and mRNA-like properties.
Source: RNAcentral
GGGGGUGACCUGGUUUCGACAGAGCAGAGUGACCGACGGGAAGCAAGCCGAGGUCUCCUCGCCUCGUAAAACAGGGGUACACGCCUUGUAAUCGGCAACUAUGAUUACGCCCUCGCCGCUUAAACAAUAACCGGCGACGUCAACGAUCGGGUAGGCUCCGCCCGUUCCGCGACGCCAUUCAGGAGCCUGCGGUUGCGGUGGUGGGCUGUAUUGCCGCCGCCCAAGAUGAAACAGCCAUGGGGAAUCGACGCGGGUCGUCAGGCCGACCAUUCCCCGAGACGUGAUUGACGACUGAGCUUGGAGAAGCCGGCGGCGCUUUGUUUUGGACGCGGGUUCGAUUCCCGCCACCUCCACCA